AUACGGAGGGUCCAAGCGUUAUCCGGAUUCAUUGGGUUUAAAGGGUGCGCAGGCGGGCUUGUAAGUCGGUGGUGAAAUACUGCCGCUUAACGGUAGAACUGCCAUUGAUACUGCAAGUCUUGAAUAUGGUUGAGGUAGGCGGAAUGUGUUGCGUAGCGGUGAAAUGCAUAGAUAUGACACAGAACGCCAAUUGCGAAGGCAGCUUACUAAGCCAUUAUUGACGCUGAGGCACGAAAGCGUGGGGAGCGAACAGGAUUAGAAACCCCAGUAGUCC
This 274-nucleotide ribosomal RNA is filed under the name uncultured bacterium. Its description in RNAcentral is "partial 16S ribosomal RNA". It matches the Rfam family "Bacterial small subunit ribosomal RNA", at positions 523 to 796 of the family's 1533-position model. The record is from RNAcentral.